Molecule: ribosomal RNA, 724 nt
Filed under: uncultured Fusobacterium sp.
Lineage: Bacteria; Fusobacteriati; Fusobacteriota; Fusobacteriia; Fusobacteriales; Fusobacteriaceae
Description: bacterial SSU rRNA
Rfam family: Bacterial small subunit ribosomal RNA
Source: RNAcentral
GAUGAACGCUGACAGAAUGCUUAACACAUGCAAGUCGACUCGAGUCUUCGGACUUGGGUGGCGGACGGGUGAGUAACGCGUAAAGAACUUGCCUCAUAGUCUGGGACAACAUCUGGAAACGGAUGCUAAUACCGGAUAUUAUGCUUUCUUCGCAUGGAGGAAGUAUGAAAGCUAUAUGCGCUAUGAGAGAGCUUUGCGUCCCAUUAGCUAGUUGGUGAGGUAACGGCCCACCAAGGCGAUGAUGGGUAGCCGGCCUGAGAGGGUGAACGGCCACAAGGGGACUGAGACACGGCCCUUACUCCUACGGGAGGCAGCAGUGGGGAAUAUUGGACAAUGGACCAAAAGUCUGAUCCAGCAAUUCUGUGUGCACGAUGACGUUUUUCGGAAUGUAAAGUGCUUUCAGUCGGGAAGAAGCAAGUGACGGUACCGACAGAAGAAGCGACGGCUAAAUACGUGCCAGCAGCCGCGGUAAUACGUAUGUCGCAAGCGUUAUCCGGAUUUAUUGGGCGUAAAGCGCGUCUAGGCGGCAAGGAAAGUCUGAUGUGAAAAUGCGGGGCUCAACUCCGUAUUGCGUUGGAAACUGCCUUACUAGAGUACUGGAGAGGUAGGCGGAACUACAAGUGUAGAGGUGAAAUUCGUAGAUAUUUGUAGGAAUGCCGAUGGGGAAGCCAGCCUACUGGACAGAUACUGACGCUAAAGCGCGAAAGCGUGGGUAGCAAACAGG